This 542-nucleotide ribosomal RNA is filed under the name Cladosporium colocasiae. RNAcentral describes it as "eukaryotic LSU rRNA". The stretch from base 191 to 345 matches the Rfam family "5.8S ribosomal RNA". Lineage: Eukaryota; Fungi; Ascomycota; Dothideomycetes; Cladosporiales; Cladosporiaceae. The record is from RNAcentral.
GUCUCCGUAGGUGAACCUGCGGAGGGAUCAUUACNAAGUGACCCCGGUCUAACCACCGGGAUGUUCAUAACCCUUUGUUGUCCGACUCUGUUGCCUCCGGGGCGACCCUGCCUUCGGGCGGGGGCUCCGGGUGGACACUUCAAACUCUUGCGUAACCUUGCAGUCUGAGUAAACUUAAUUAAUAAAUUAAAACUUUUAACAACGGAUCUCUUGGUUCUGGCAUCGAUGAAGAACGCAGCGAAAUGCGAUAAGUAAUGUGAAUUGCAGAAUUCAGUGAAUCAUCGAAUCUUUGAACGCACAUUGCGCCCCCUGGUAUUCCGGGGGGGCAUGCCUGUUCGAGCGUCAUUUCACCACUCAAGCCUCGCUUGGUAUUGGGCAACGCGGUCCGCCGCGUGCCUCAAAUCGACCGGCUGGGUCUUCUGUCCCCUAAGCGUUGUGGAAACUAUUCGCUAAAGGGUGCUCGGGAGGCUACGCCGUAAAACAAACCCAUUUUCUAAGGUUGACCUCGGAUCAGGUAGGGAUACCCGCUGAACUUAAGCAUA